AAGUGAGAAUGCCGGUAUGAGUAGCGAAAGAAGGGUGAGAAUCCCUUCCACCGAAUAUCUAAGGUUUCCUGAGGAAGGCUCGUCCGCUCAGGGUUAGUCGGGACCUAAGCCGAGGCCGAUAGGCGUAGGCGAUGGACAACAGGUAGAGAUUCCUGUACCAGUGCUAAUUGUUUAACCGAUGGGGUGACACAGAAGGAUAGGGAAUCGCACGAAUGGAAAUGUGCGUCCAAGCAGUGAGUGUGAGAAGUAGGCAAAUCCGCUUCUCGCGAAGCAUGAGCUGUGAUGGGGAAGGAAAUUAAGUACGGAAGUUCCUGAUUUCACGCUGUCAAGAAAAGCCUCUAGGAAGAGUAGUACUGCCCGUACCGCAAACCGACACAGGUAGAUGAGGAGAGAAUCCUAAGGUGAGCGAGAGAACUCUCGUUAAGGAACUCGGCAAAAUGACCCCGUAACUUCGGGAGAAGGGGUGCUCUAUUAGGGUGCAAGCCCGAGAGAGCCGCAGUGAAUAGGCCCAGGCGACUGUUUAGCAAAAACACAGGUCUCUGCAAAACCGUAAGGUGACGUAUAGGGGCUGACGCCUGCCCGGUGCUGGAAGGUUAAGAGGAGUGCUUAGCUUCGGCGAAGGUACGAAUUGAAGCCCCAGUAAACGGCGGCCGUAACUAUAACGGUCCUAAGGUAGCGAAAUUCCUUGUCGGGUAAGUUCCGACCCGCACGAAAGGCGCAACGAUCUGGGCACUGUCUCAACGAGAGACUCGGUGAAAUUAUAGUACCUGUGAAGAUGC
Molecule: ribosomal RNA, 779 nt
Filed under: Listeria monocytogenes
Lineage: Bacteria; Bacillati; Bacillota; Bacilli; Caryophanales; Listeriaceae
Description: partial 23S ribosomal RNA
Rfam family: Bacterial large subunit ribosomal RNA
Source: RNAcentral